Molecule: non-coding RNA, 685 nt
Organism: Theobroma cacao (cacao)
Lineage: Eukaryota; Viridiplantae; Streptophyta; Magnoliopsida; Malvales; Malvaceae
Source: RefSeq, a predicted model, not a curated record
AUGCCAAGAUCUGGGUGUAUGAAGGCUAUGUUCAACUUGGAGCUUUGCUUUCUCUCCAUUUUGUUUGCUUUCCUUCAAUGACCGACGAGAUAUAGCGUUUAGAUACGAAGGGGAGGGGCAGAAAGAGGAAAGGAGUCGUCGUCAGACAGACAAAGAACCAAGGAGUAGGAUUAAAUGAAGGCUGAAAAUAUCCACGCCGUAGCAAAGGAAUCAAAGUGAAAUGACGGGUGAAGAAGCGGCAGGUCCCCCUGGCCCCAAAGUCCUCCGUCUCCUCUACUUCGCCGGCGCUGCGUUUAUCUUUAGUAUUGGAAUCAACAAAUGGCGAGAGCUAGAGCGAAAAUCCGUUCAGCAACAACAAGGGAUUCAUCAGCAACCGAAAAUUUUAAGCUCUACCAAUGCUGCAACUAAACCCAUCGAAUAAUUUUUCAGGUUUUUCAUUUUGGAAGAACAAAAUUUGUAGCGAAUAAUGGUCUUUGUGUGGAAUUGUUGAUUUACGAUGAUAAUGUUGUCUAUUCAUUAUAUGAGUUCGUUUCUGUUUUUUUUUUCUUGUUACUAAAUUUGUAUAAUUUGGUCUAAUUUUGUUCUUUGAAUUAUUACUAGUUAUACUAAGCUGGUUUGGGUGAUAGGGAUUUUGGUUCUACAGCGGUUCAACGGCGUAUAUUAAAAAAAAUUGGUUGUGGGUUUU